AUUCAUCCUUGGCUGCUUUAUACAUUAGCAGCCGGAGAGAGAAUGUACAUGGGACACUAGCAAUGGAUAAGAAAUUUUUAAAAACCUAUAUAUAUGUGUGGCCUUUUAUCAAGCAAGAAAAUAACCUCUUCUUCUCACAAGCUCACUUUCUUUCUUUUUCUUCUCCUUGUGGCACUAACUGGUGGGUUAACUUCAUCAUCCCUUAGACCCUUACUCAUUUUAUACAUAUAAUUCAGAUUUUUAUAUAAAUAGUCGGUCGGAUGCUUUGUAUUUUUUUUUUAAUUAUUAUACAUAAAUGAUAUUCUGAUUAUACCUAGUUAUAUGCAUAUUAUAUAAAUUAUACUUAGGCCCUGUUUGUCCAUAUUUAAAAAUCCUUUUUUUCAAUUUUUUUUUCAAAAAUGUAUUUUGUCCUUGAAAUUUUUGUAAGUUUUUAGGAAUUUGCCGAAAAUAAGUUUUUCAAAGAAAAACCUUUUUUCCCCACUCAACAAAUUGCAACAUUUUUUAAAUGAAAUAUAUGUCCAAAACAUAAUUUCAAAUUCCAAAAUACCACUUUUCAACUUAACUCCAAAUACUACUGCUUUUAAAAAUUAUAGUAAUUUUUAUGUCGAAACAGCUACUUAUAUUAUUCAUUUGUCGGUUGUUUUAAGUUUAAGCGAUCGAAUAGGUAGCUAUUUAGGUUAAUUAUUCGUAUAAUUAUGUAUCUCUACUUAUAUUAAUUUGGUUGAUCAUAUUGUGCAGUUCAUUCAAACAUUAAGGCGAUGGCGACGCAAGACUUACCUUUACAAGAAGAGGUGAUUGAGCAAAUUGUAGUACCAGAUCUUACUAAUAGAAAAGGAUGUUACAACCUCUGCAAAUCUGAUGCAAAUUGCAAUAACAGAGGUUCAGUGUGUAGGCAAUGUCGAACAGCACAUAAUCAUUAUGAUAUUACAAUGAGAUGCUAUCCCAGGAUUUGAAUCUAAUGGAAUUUUUACAUAAAUAGUCGGUCAAAUUCAUAUAUGUGUUUUUUGUGGUUAUUUUAUUUUUACCAGCUCCGUUUUAAGCUUUGUGUCAUUUGUAAGGUUAAAAAUACAAGUGACUAUUUAUUUUUUUCCGAACAAAUAUGUGUUUUCGUAUGAGUAUGUUGUAUUUCUAUUUUAUUUAUUAUUUCUUGUUGAAUGAAUUCUAUUCUUUUACUCCAAA
RNAcentral lists this long non-coding RNA (1179 nucleotides) under Nicotiana benthamiana. RNAcentral describes it as "long non-coding RNA (NBEN_LNC021829)". The record is from RNAcentral. Lineage: Eukaryota; Viridiplantae; Streptophyta; Magnoliopsida; Solanales; Solanaceae.